This is a long non-coding RNA of Rosa rugosa (rugosa rose), 1761 nucleotides long. RefSeq lists it as uncharacterized. Lineage: Eukaryota; Viridiplantae; Streptophyta; Magnoliopsida; Rosales; Rosaceae. The record is from RefSeq and is a predicted model, not a curated record. The transcript is spliced from 8 exons.
UAUAUACUAUUUGCGGGUUCACUGUUCAUCGGCUUAGUAACAGUGCCGGCUCGAGCCGAGCUGAAAAUGUGAAAUGACGGUUCUGCCCUUCGUGGUCUGUUUAAUUACGGUAUUAUGUUUGGCCUAGGUAUAAAAGGUCUUGGGGUGAUUGACGCGAGCAUUUCCCUCUCGAAUUCGUUGUAAGCUGUCGUCUGCGCAUCUGGAGAUUCUUGGGUGUGUGGCUGAUUUGGGCGAAGAGAAGGAGGGUGAUUUUGGAGGAAACGGGAGAGGAGUUUCUACAUGACUGAAGGGAAUAAGGCUUGAAGCUUUACAAACAUUGCAGCCUGGGGUGAGAUUUUUUGAUAUUUUUUUUCCUAUGGUAUUGAUUAACUUCUGCCUAUUAAUUUAGUUUGAAAAUUGAUAUGGGUUUUAUUCGAUUUGUUCAUAAUCUUCCUGGGUUUUAUAGAGUCUGGGUUUGUUUCCAUAGAGUUGGGGUUUCUAUUUGAUUAGAUCUGAUGAAGUCUUUUUUCUUUUGGGGUUUUGUUGUUUGUGGAGCAAAUAGGAGAGGAGCUCUUGCUUGCUUGAAAGAAAAGAAGUGGAAGAAUUGAUCAAUUGUGUUUGCUUGAUGUGUCUGCGGUUCAAUCAAUUGUGGUUGUGAUUCCUGCAGUUAGUGCUUCUAAGGCUGUGUAAUUCUUUGUACUUGACAGCCUAUAGGAGACUUGAUUGAUUUUGUGUGCAGGUUCAGUUGGUGCAACAGUAACAUUCAAUGAUGAUGGAAUAGCUGAACACAUUAAACAGGUAAAUAUUCAAAAUAACACAGCUAAGAAGGAUAUCCUCUGCUUCUAUUUCUAAUGUUGUAUGGAUUUUAUAUUUCAAUGUUCUUAAGGCUCCACAUCUCCACAUCUUAUAUUAAUUGUAAUGUUUAUCGGCAGUUGCUGAAUAUAAAGAAACAAAGAAGUAGGAAAAAAAAAAAACACGUAAGAAUAGAAUAAAUAAAAAAACUACAUGUAUAUAGAAGCCAUGUUUAACUGACAUAAAAGCAUAGGACUCCUCAUUAGCAUGAUGUAGCAGCAAAAAGUCAUGCUAAAUAUGCAAGCCGACAUAGCAUUUCUGUACUAUAUAUCUUGACAUUAUUAGCCUUUUAUUUUUAGCCGUUUAUGUAUAUGGAAGAUUAGGUGGCAUUGGAGGUGUUGUCAGUUGUGAAGCUGCUGCUACUAACAUUCCGAUCAUCUUUCUCAGGUUGGUUGCCUAUAAUUGACAUUCCAAAAGCAGGUGAAGCUGUGAAAAAUAGAAGUGGAUAAUAUAUUGGGAACAGUGAACUAUCAAUGUUUGCAAGUAUUUUGAAUUCAGGUUUCAGCUGCUACUGUUACUUUUGCUGCAGCUCCUGCUGUUGGUGCAACUGAUUUAGUUGUUGUGAGAUUAGUCUGCAGGUUUGUGGUUUUUUCUUUUGGUCCAUAUUGUUGAUCCCUUGCCAUUGUUGGUCCAUAAACAUAUGCUGAUCCCUUGCCAUUGUUGGUUCAUAAACAUAUGCUAAUGGACAUCAGCAUCUCUUUUUGGCAGACAAAUAAAACGACAGUUGUAACUAGGUUACCCCGUAAGUAGGACAAUGUAUUUUUGACAAGCUGUUUCAACAGCCAUUGUAAUCUAUAUUUGAAUAUUACCAGAACAUCUAUAUUAAUGUUUAUGUUUGUAAACCAAGAUCUAUGUUAGUUCCAAACUGAAUUCUCUAUCCUUCAAGACCUGCAGAUUCUGUUCCAAAACCCGCAGCAACGCGCGGGCACA